Molecule: long non-coding RNA, 297 nt
Filed under: Lathyrus oleraceus (garden pea)
Lineage: Eukaryota; Viridiplantae; Streptophyta; Magnoliopsida; Fabales; Fabaceae
Description: Pisum sativum (pea) long non-coding RNA (PSAT_LNC024818)
Source: RNAcentral
AUUGGGGCCCUCAUGCCUACGUAUCCUCAUAGUGCAAUGAGGAAUUCAGAGCUUCGUAGUUCAUGGAACUAGAGGCAGGAGGUGGAAAGGAAUGUGAUCAAAGUAUGGUCUGAACCAAAGAAUGUUGUUAUUUGAACUCCAAAAAAGGUGAAAAUGUGAACCCAAGAGUAGACAGGUAUGUACCGACAAGUGGGGGCGUAUAACACUUAUAUCAUUGUACUGGAACAACCGAUAAAAAGAGGAAUUGAGUGUUUUGGGUAGGAUCCAAACAACUCUUGGUUCACAAAGAGGUGCAAG